GUGGGGAAUCUUCCGCAAUGGACGAAAGUCUGACGGAGCGACGCCGCGUGAGUGAUGAAGGCCUUCGGGUCGUAAAGCUCUGUCGUCGGGGACGAACGGCCGCCUCAGGGAAUGGGGGCGGAGUGACGGUACCCGAGAAGGAAGCCACGGCUAACUACGUGCCAGCAGCCGCGGUAAUACGUAGGUGGCAAGCGUUGUCCGGAAUUAUUGGGCGUAAAGCGCGCGCAGGUGGGAUUUUAAGUCCAUUUUGAAAGUUCGGAGCUUAACUCCGUGAUGGGAUGGAAACUGGGAUUCUUGAGUACCGGAGAGGAAAGCGGAAUUCCCCGUGUAGCGGUGAAAUGCGUAGAUAUGGGGAGGAACACCAGUGGCGAAGGCGGCUUUCUGGACGGUGUCUGACACUGAGGCGCGAAAGCCAGGGGAGCGAACGGGAUUAGAAACCCCGGUAGUCC
This 449-nucleotide ribosomal RNA is filed under the name uncultured bacterium. RNAcentral's name for it is "partial 16S ribosomal RNA". It matches the Rfam family "Bacterial small subunit ribosomal RNA", at positions 354 to 796 of the family's 1533-position model. The record is from RNAcentral.